UUCCCCAUGCUUCCACCCCUACUCCAGUCUUACUCCACUUCAAGUUUUAAAAAUGCUGUCCUAAAUUCUUCAGUGGAUGUGGAGUUAUCCACUGAUAGAGAGAGGGACAGUGGCUUGAGGAAAGUGGAAAUCCAACUGGAAGUCUUUUAAAGAUCGACAAAAGUCAGGUGUGAUGGUUCACUCCAGUAAUCCCAGCUACUUGGGAGGCUGGGGUGGGAGGAUCACUUGAACCCAAUUCAAGCCAGCCUCUAACAAGCAAGACCCCAUCAGAGAGAAAGAGAGAAACAAUGUCCCAGGCACUGAGGGCCCACGAAGGCAGUCAUUACUUAUUAUGUGUUAUAUAAUGUCUAUUGGGUGGUAACUGUGUGGCAGGUGUGGCAAGUGGAUUCUCUCUCUUAAUCCUCACCCCCAGGUCACUGGAAUCCAGAGCCCAUACUCUUAACCACCUUUUGAUAUGUCUCCCUUUAUGAUUAGGUGUAUCAGUACAGUUCAUUCAGGGGAGCAGAGCCACUAUGGGUAUUAUGGGAAUAAGGGCUUUAUUACAAGAAUGAGAUUUAUCCAAAGCCUGAAGGAGCUGGGAAAGUGAAAGUCUGCAAGGAACUGUGGGAUAAUCUGAGAGGAGUCACAAAUGAGUGGAGGACUAGGUGAAACCUAUCUGCCGGGCACCUCUGUCUGUCAUAGCAUCUGACUAGAAGAUUUCCACAGAGCACUGGCUGACACUCCCACUCUGCCUUCCAAAUCUCACCCCAGGUCCUCUUUUGGCCAACUCUAACUCAGAGCCUUGUUGGUAGUGCGUUCUGAAAGUGUACUUUCCAGUUUAACCAAAUCGAUUUAGCACAAUCCAGCACAUUAGAAAAUCUUCAAUGUAGGUGAGAUAUAGCUGACUAAAAUUCCAGGCUGCAGAAGAAAGUUUGGGCCACAUUUUUAUAUGUUUAUCUCCCUUUUUGAAUGGCUGCAUGACAUUUUAUAUAAUAUUGGUCAGUAUUUUAUGUAUACAGUAGCAUUUACAAACACUGGAAAAAUAGUAACUCCUUCAGAGCUGCACUUCAAGGACUAAGCAGAGUGUCUGGCAUGCAGUAGAUGCUCAGCAAAUAUUGGAUGAAUGAGUGGCUGCUGAAAGACUAGAGUUCCUGCAGGGCAACAUCAACUCCUACUUAUCAACUCUGGCAGAUAUUUGAAAAUCGCCCAGGGGCAGGAAGUGGCCUCAUUCUCCUAAGUAAUGGGGAGGUAAUUCUACUCACCGGUAUGCCACCACUUUCAGUCUCUGGCUAGCACCCAAGUGGAAUGAAAACUCCCCGUUUACUGCUUCCAAGAGGAACUGAUCACCACCUCUUUGGGGUGUCUUCUUUGCUCAUGAUGAUCGCCUUAAUUGUACUUCCUCAUGCACAAAAGUGGGGCCCCAACCCUCUUCCUUGGCCACAGCUGAUUGAACCAUGAUUAGACACCUGAACACAGGUGGGCAAAUCAGAUUCUCCCUUCUGGGAAUUUGGAAUUGGGACCAAAAACCAAAAAAUAACAUUUAACAAAACAAGCAUAAAUAAGUAAAGGGGGAUAGAAAAUUAUUACUAAUUAAUUAACAUAACUGACAGGUAUUUUAGGCAAAAAAUAUUUGUUUCUUCCAUUACACUCCACAUCAAAAAAAUUUUGAAUGCUUUUAGAGGCUGGGUGCGGUGGCUCACACCUGUAAUCCCAACACUUUGGGAGGCCGAGGUGGGUGGAUAACUUGAGGCCAGGAGUUCAAGAGCAGCCUGGCCAACAUAGCAAAACCCCGUCGCUACUAAAAAUACAAAAACUUAGUCAGGCAUGGCGCAUGCCUGUAAUCCCAGCUACUCAGGAGGCUGAAGCAUGAGAAUCGCUUGAACCUAGGAGAUGGAGGUUGCCGUGAGCCAAGAUCGCCCCGCUGCACUCCAGCCUGAGCAAGACUCUGUCUCAAAAAAAAAAAAA
Macaca fascicularis (crab-eating macaque) is the source of this 1944-nucleotide long non-coding RNA. Lineage: Eukaryota; Metazoa; Chordata; Mammalia; Primates; Cercopithecidae. The record is from Ensembl.